Phyllostomus hastatus (greater spear-nosed bat) is the source of this 182-nucleotide small nuclear RNA. RefSeq annotates it as U2 spliceosomal RNA. The transcript has a single exon. The record is from RefSeq and is a predicted model, not a curated record. NCBI's taxonomy places the organism in Eukaryota, Metazoa, Chordata, Mammalia, Chiroptera, Phyllostomidae.
AUAGCUUCUCAGAUCAAGUGCAGUAUCUGUUCUUAUCUGUUUAAUAUAUGAAAAAUCCUCUAUUCAAGGACAUUAUAUUAAAUGGAUUUUUGGAGCUGGAAGAUGGAAUAGGAGUUUGCUCCAUCCACUCAGCACAUUGACUAGGUAGGUAUUGCAGUACUUCAGGGAACAGUGCCAAAAAA